CUGCGUGGAAGGGCCAUCGCUCAACGGAUAAAAGCUACCCUGGGGAUAACAGGCUUAUCUCCCCCAAGAGUCCACAUCGACGGGGAGGUUUGGCACCUCGCUGUCGGCUCAUCACAUCCUGGGGCUGCAGUAGGUCCCAAGGGUUGGGCUGUUCGCCCAUUAAAGUGGUACGCGAGCUGGGUUCAGAACGUCGUGAGACAGUUCGGUCCCUAUCCGUCGCAGGCG
RNAcentral lists this ribosomal RNA (225 nucleotides) under Clostridioides difficile. RNAcentral's name for it is "partial 23S ribosomal RNA". It matches the Rfam family "Bacterial large subunit ribosomal RNA", at positions 2429 to 2653 of the family's 2925-position model. Lineage: Bacteria; Bacillati; Bacillota; Clostridia; Peptostreptococcales; Peptostreptococcaceae. The record is from RNAcentral.